AUGAAGCUGGAAUCGCUAGUAAUCGCAGAUCAGCAUGCUGUGGUGAAUACGUUCCCGGGCCUUGUACACACCGCCCGUCACACCAUGGGAGUCGGUAACACCCAAAGUUGGUAGUCUAACCGCAAGGAGGACGCCGCCUAAGGUGGGAUUGAUGACUGGGGUGAAGUCGUAACAAGGUAAC
Molecule: ribosomal RNA, 181 nt
Filed under: uncultured bacterium
Lineage: Bacteria
Description: partial 16S ribosomal RNA
Rfam family: Bacterial small subunit ribosomal RNA
Source: RNAcentral